RNAcentral lists this ribosomal RNA (403 nucleotides) under bacterium. Its description in RNAcentral is "partial 16S ribosomal RNA". It matches the Rfam family "Bacterial small subunit ribosomal RNA", at positions 355 to 776 of the family's 1533-position model. The record is from RNAcentral.
UGGGGAAUAUUGCACAAUGGAGGGAACUCUGAUGCAGCGACGCCGCGUGAACGAAGAAGGCUUUCGAGUCGUAAAGUUCUUUUAUAUGGGAAGAUAAUGACGGUACCAUAAGAAAAAGCCCCGGCUAACUACGUGCAAGCAGCCGCGGUAUUACGUAGGGGGCUAGCGUUGGCCGGAAUCACUGGGCGUAAAGGGUUCGCAGGCGGAAAUGCAAGUCAGGUGUAAAAGGCAGUAGCUUAACUACUGUAAGCAUUUGAAACUGCAUAUCUUGAGAAGAGUAGAGGUAAGUGGAAUUUUUAGUGUAGCGGUGAAAUGCGUAGAUAUUAAAAAGAAUACCGGUGGCGAAGGCGACUUACUGGGCUCAUUCUGACGCUGAGGAACGAAAGCGUGGGUAGCAAACAGG